CCUACGGGAGGCAGCAGUGGGGAAUCUUGCGCAAUGGGCGAAAGCCUGACGCAGCCAUGCCGCGUGAAUGAUGAAGGUCUUAGGAUUGUAAAAAUUCUUUCACCGGGGACGAUAAUGACGGUACCCGGAGAAGAAGCCCCGGCUAACUUCGUGCCAGCAGCCGCGGUAAUACGAAGGGGGCUAGCGUUGCUCGGAAUUACUGGGCGUAAAGGGAGCGUAGGCGGAUAGUUUAGUCAGAGGUGAAAGCCCAGGGCUCAACCUUGGAAUUGCCUUUGAUACUGGCUAUCUUGAGUGUGGGAGAGGUUAGCGGAACUCCGAGUGUAGAGGUGAAAUUCGUAGAUAUUCGGAAGAACACCAGUGGCGAAGGCGGCUAACUGGCCCAUUACUGACGCUGAGGCUCGAAAGCGUGGGGAGCAAACAGGAUUAGAUACCCUGGUAGUCCACGCCGUAAACGAUGAGUGCUAGUUGUCGGCAUGCAUGCAUGUCGGUGACGCGAGCUACGACAUUAAGUACACUCCGCCGUCGGGGAGGUACGGUCGGCGAAGAAUUAAAACGUUAAAAGGUAAAGUUAGACGGCGUGAGACGUGCCGAACGGACGACGACGAGGGAGGUAGG
This 615-nucleotide ribosomal RNA is filed under the name uncultured bacterium. RNAcentral's name for it is "bacterial SSU rRNA". The stretch from base 1 to 521 matches the Rfam family "Bacterial small subunit ribosomal RNA", at positions 338 to 873 of the family's 1533-position model. The record is from RNAcentral.